AUACGGAGGAUCCGAGCGUUAUCCGGAUUUAUUGGGUUUAAAGGGUGCGCAGGCGGGAGAUUAAGUCGGCGGUGAAAUUUUUCAGCUCAACUGUAAAAGUGCCUUCGAAACUGGGUUCCUUGAGUGUAGAUGAAGUAGGCGGAAUUUGUGGGGUAGCGGUGAAAUGCAUAGAUAUCACGAGGAACUCCGAUUGCGCAGGCAGCUUACUAAACUACUACUGACGCUCAGGCACGAAGGCGUGGGGAUCAAACAGGAUUAGAUACCCUGGUAGUCCACGCAGUAAACGAUGAUUACUAGCUGUUUGCGAUACAAUGUAAGCGGCUGAGCGAAAGCGUUAAGUAAUCCACCUGGGGAGUACGUUCGCAAGAAUGAAACUCAAAGGAAUUGACGGGG
RNAcentral lists this ribosomal RNA (393 nucleotides) under uncultured bacterium. RNAcentral's name for it is "partial 16S ribosomal RNA". It matches the Rfam family "Bacterial small subunit ribosomal RNA", at positions 523 to 918 of the family's 1533-position model. The record is from RNAcentral.